UACGUAGGGUCCGAGCGUUGUCCGGAGUUACUGGGCGUAAAGCGCGCGCAGGCGGCUUGGUAAGACUGGCGUGAAAGCCCCCGGCUCAACCGGGGAGGGUCGUUGGUGACUGCCAGGCUUGAAGCCAGCAGGGGCAGGUGGAAUUCCCGGUGUAGUGGUGAAAUGCGUAGAGAUCGGGAGGAACACCCGUGGCGAAGGCGGCCUGCUGGGCUGGGCUUGACGCUGAGGCGCGAAGGCGUGGGGAGCGAACGGG
Molecule: ribosomal RNA, 253 nt
Filed under: uncultured bacterium
Lineage: Bacteria
Description: partial 16S ribosomal RNA
Rfam family: Bacterial small subunit ribosomal RNA
Source: RNAcentral